Molecule: ribosomal RNA, 611 nt
Filed under: Salmonella enterica
Lineage: Bacteria; Pseudomonadati; Pseudomonadota; Gammaproteobacteria; Enterobacterales; Enterobacteriaceae
Description: partial 23S ribosomal RNA
Rfam family: Bacterial large subunit ribosomal RNA
Source: RNAcentral
GGGUUGUGAGGUUAAGCGACUAAGCGUACACGGUGGAUGCCCUGGCAGUCAGAGGCGAUGAAGGGCGUGCUAAUCUGCGAUAAGCGCCGGUAAGGUGAUAUGAACCGUUAUAACCGGCGAUACCCGAAUGGGGAAACCCAGUGUGACUCGUCACACUAUCAUUAACUGAAUCCAUAGGUUAAUGAGGCGAACCGGGGGAACUGAAACAUCUAAGUACCCCGAGGAAAAGAAAUCAACCGAGAUUCCCCCAGUAGCGGCGAGCGAACGGGGAGGAGCCCAGAGCCUGAAUCAGCAUGUGUGUUAGUGGAAGCGUCUGGAAAGGCGCGCGAUACAGGGUGACAGCCCCGUACACAAAAGCGCAUAUGCUGUGAGCUCGAUGAGUAGGGCGGGACACGUGGUAUCCUGUCUGAAUAUGGGGGGACCAUCCUCCAAGGCUAAAUACUCCUGACUGACCGAUAGUGAACCAGUACCGUGAGGGAAAGGCGAAAAGAACCCCGGCGAGGGGAGUGAAAAAGAACCUGAAACCGUGUACGUACAAGCAGUGGGAGCACCCUUUUGGGUGUGACUGCGUACCUUUUGUAUAAUGGGUCAGCGACUUAUAUUCUGUAGCA